Small nucleolar RNA from Acanthopagrus latus (yellowfin seabream), 66 nucleotides. RefSeq annotates it as small nucleolar RNA SNORD58. The transcript has a single exon. The record is from RefSeq and is a predicted model, not a curated record. NCBI's taxonomy places the organism in Eukaryota, Metazoa, Chordata, Actinopteri, Spariformes, Sparidae.
CUGCUGUGAUGACCACUUAGGACACCUUUGGAUAAAAGAUGAAACUAACCUUUGUAUCUGAGCAGU